CGCGUAGGCGGGCCGUCAGGCCCGCGGUGAAAUCCCCCGGCUCAACCGGGGAAGUGCCGCGGGGACCGGCGGUCUGGAGUGAGAUAGGGGCGUGCGGAACUGUGGGUGGAGCGGUGAAAUGCGUUGAUAUCCACAGGAACUCCGGUGGCGAAGGCGGCACGCUGGAUCUCGACUGACGCUGAGGCGCGAAAGCCAGGGGAGCGAACG
Molecule: ribosomal RNA, 207 nt
Filed under: uncultured bacterium
Lineage: Bacteria
Description: partial 16S ribosomal RNA
Rfam family: Bacterial small subunit ribosomal RNA
Source: RNAcentral